Molecule: ribosomal RNA, 301 nt
Filed under: uncultured bacterium
Lineage: Bacteria
Description: partial 16S ribosomal RNA
Rfam family: Bacterial small subunit ribosomal RNA
Source: RNAcentral
CAGCCGCCACGGGAAUACAGAGGGUGCGAGCGUUAAUCGGAUUUACUGGGCGUAAGGCGUGCGUAGGCGGCUUUUUAAGUCGGAUGUGAAAUCCCUGAGCUUAACUUAGGAAUUGCAUUCGAUACUGGGAAGCUAGAGUAUGGGAGAGGAUGGUAGAAUUCCAGGUGUAGCGGUGAAAUGCGUAGAGAUCUGGAGGAAUACCGAUGGCGAAGGCAGCCAUCUGGCCUAAUACUGACGCUGAGGUACGAAAGCAUGGGGAGCAAACAGGAUUAGAUACCCGCGUAGUCCCUGUCUCUUAUAU